UGAUCCUGGCUCAGAUUGAACGCUGGCGGCAUGCUUUACACAUGCAAGUCGAACGGUAACAGGGAGCUUGCUCCGCUGACGAGUGGCGAACGGGUGAGUAAUAUAUCGGAACGUACCCAAGAGUGGGGGAUAACGUAGCGAAAGUUACGCUAAUACCGCAUACGAUCUAAGGAUGAAAGCAGGGGAUCUUCGGACCUUGUGCUCCUGGAGCGGCCGAUAUCUGAUUAGCUAGUUGGUGAGGUAAAGGCUCACCAAGGCGACGAUCAGUAGCUGGUCUGAGAGGACGACCAGCCACACUGGAACUGAGACACGGUCCAGACUCCUACGGGAGGCAGCAGUGGGGAAUUUUGGACAAUGGGCGCAAGCCUGAUCCAGCAAUGCCGCGUGAGUGAAGAAGGCCUUCGGGUUGUAAAGCUCUUUUGUCAGGGAAGAAACGGGAGUGGCUAAUAUCCAUUUNUAAUGACGGUACCUGAAGAAUAA
Molecule: ribosomal RNA, 480 nt
Filed under: Zoogloea sp. dN
Lineage: Bacteria; Pseudomonadati; Pseudomonadota; Betaproteobacteria; Rhodocyclales; Zoogloeaceae
Description: bacterial SSU rRNA
Rfam family: Bacterial small subunit ribosomal RNA
Source: RNAcentral